AAUGUGUGCUCUCCUUCUGGGGGUAAAACAUAUCGUAAUAAUAUGUGCAUCAGCAAACAAGAGUUCAGAUUCACUACAGUGUACGUGGACAACAACUGCAAAGUAAAACGGGUCAUCGCAGAGACGAAGUACAUCAUUCUAGCCUGUGACGAACUCGAAGGUGACUGCCUUCCCGUCCAUUUCGAGGCCAACAAGAAUAACACUAGACCGGACCCGAAUAGUCCAGACUGCAAAAAUCCGAAAUACCGGAACCACACGGAAUUUGCACAUCCAGCUCUGGGCCUUCUAACUCUGGCCCUGCUGAUUGCAGCCCUGACCCCCUUUUAUAUGAUUGUAAUAACUGUCUUAAAUUGUAUGUGUGUUUGUGUUUAGAGAAAUGAAUUGAACCAAUAGGACUGGGUAAAUAUGCAGCUUUGAAAAAUUGAGAAAUUAAGAUGAAAUUUUCAGUGGCUUUUCAUUAUAAAACCAGAUGUUUUACACUUUUAUAUUCAGUAUAUCUUAUAUUACAUCUUAUAUAAUCUUACAUAUAUAUUAAAUUCAAUAUAUGAUUUCCA
This is a long non-coding RNA of Colossoma macropomum (tambaqui), 554 nucleotides long. RefSeq lists it as uncharacterized. The transcript is spliced from 2 exons. The record is from RefSeq and is a predicted model, not a curated record. Lineage: Eukaryota; Metazoa; Chordata; Actinopteri; Characiformes; Serrasalmidae.